RNAcentral lists this ribosomal RNA (446 nucleotides) under uncultured bacterium. RNAcentral's name for it is "partial 16S ribosomal RNA". It matches the Rfam family "Bacterial small subunit ribosomal RNA", at positions 338 to 795 of the family's 1533-position model. The record is from RNAcentral.
CCUACGGGAGGCUGCAGUCGAGAAUCAUUCACAAUGGGGGAAACCCUGAUGGUGCGACGCCGCGUGGGGGAAUGAAGGUCUUCGGAUUGUAAACCCCUGUCAUGUGGGAGCAAAUUAAAAAGAUAGUACCACAAGAGGAAGAGACGGCUAACUCUGUGCCAGCAGCCGCGGUAAUACAGAGGUCUCAAGCGUUGUUCGGAAUCACGGGGCGUAAGGCGUGCGUAGGCUGUUUCGUAAGUCGUGUGUGAAAGGCGCGGGCUCAACCCGCGGACGGCACAUGAUACUGCGAGACUAGAGUAAUGGAGGGGGAACCGGAAUUCUCGGUGUAGCAGUGAAAUGCGUAGAUAUCGAGAGGAACACUCGUGGCGAAGGCGGGUUCCUGGACAUUAACUGACGCUGAGGCACGAAGGCCAGGGGAGCGAAAGGGAUUAGAUACCCUAGUAGUC